ACUUGGCGGUGAACUUGAGCCAGCAGCGGUUAACCCGGCCCGGGGUUCUGGGCCUCAGCCGGCGCCAGCAGCUCCCUCAGGUGGGGCGCAAGCCUCAGCGCGCCGCCCUUCUCCGCUCCUCUCCUCCAACCGGCCCUUACCUAGGGCGACGGCCCCGGGGACCCCCUUCCCAAGGGCGUCGGCCUGGAGCCUGGAGUCUGUAGGAGUGGCGGGAGAUGGGGACGCGAGUCCCUGGACGCCGACAGUCUGUCUCUAAGGCGUUGCUGCGUGGCUUUGGUACACAGAGCCUCGACCGCUUCUCCACCGCUGCAAGCACAGCGGGGAAGUGGAUGGAGAAGCAAAGACAGACAGACAGACAGACAGACAGACAAGCGGCGGCGGGGCUACCCUGAAACCCGAGCGUCUCCAAGCCCCCACCCCCAACCCCCGGGCACGGCGCUGCAGAUGCCAGAUCCCCGACCAGAGGCGGUGGAGAUGGGCAGGGCAAAGAACGCGCGCGCCGCUCGCAGCUCGUCCGCGCGUGGCCUUCCUCUUGCCCCCCUGCACCUUCAAUUUACCUUAUGCAGGGCGCCCCGCGAGCUGCGGGCUGAGGCGCCGAGCCGAAGCCCAGAGGACAGGAGUUUGAGAGCCGCCAUCUUCGGCCCCGGGUGCGGGAGACGGUGGCGCGCGCGGGAGUGCGUGCGAGUGCUGGUUGCCCGGGGCCGCGGCGGCGUCACCGGCUAAGAAGAGAGAAGGCAAGGCGAGCGGUAGGGCGGGCUGGAGGCUCGACCGCGCGUCAGUGACGUCCUCGGGACCUCAGAGCGGUGCCGCCCCUUGCUGCCUGCUGGCUUGUCAAGAAGCGAGACAGGGAGGGGCUCACGGCUAGGAAUGGAAAGGCUGCACAGCUAGGACGAGCCCCGCGGGUUGUGCCGGGGCCGGAGGUGCUGGGCUCCAGCUCAUCUGCGGGCACACCCGCAGCGGCGGGCGCUGCACUCAGGCUGGAGGGGGCGCUAGAGCCUGCCUUCCCCUCGCGCAAGGCUUGGCAUCAACCAGGGUUUCGGGUUGCCAAGGGCCUGGAGGGUCUCUUACUGAACGUGUUACUUUUCCAAAUCGCCCUCUGGAAUGAGUACAGGUACAAAGGGUCACUGAUAAAGAUCUCCUUCCAGAUCUAGACAGCUCACCUUUCCAACAUUUCUCAACCCCAACACCCACAACUCUCUUCAAGUCUGGUUUUGCCCUUAGUUUCCUCUGAAACCCAGCAGCGUGCUGACUGACCCUCAUGAGACAUGACCUGCUUAACCGACAGAGGGACAAGAUUAGAACUGGGCUGUUGUUCCCCAUCAUCCUACUCUGUGUUCCAGAAUUUUCCUGGAACCGGAGUCCCAACAAUUCCAGAAAUUACAGAACAGCAACCGUUAAAUACAGAAGUUGGUGCUAGAGUGGGCUGAAGCUGUGUAGCACUUGACUGUGUUGCUUUGAAGAGGAAGGUGGAAGACUGUGGAGAUCUGGCCUGGAGCAGCAUCUGGAUACUUUCGGCAGAACUUAAAAGGCAACCCUAAAGGAAGCCUGAAAGAUAACCACACUGAGAGCAAUGAGGACUGUGGAGACCCAGAGCAGAAGGUUUCAGAGAGGAACACUAUCAGCCAUUGGGCUCCAAGCUCUUGUGAUAUUUGGGCAAAGAAUCUAAUGGCCCUGGGCUUUGAUCCUAAGAACUUACCUAAGGGGAAAUUUUUAAAGUAACAGAAUAAUUUCUAUAGUGGAAUAAAAUUUCAAGACCACAUAACAUUGAGUCUGUGGCAUGGUUUUUAUUGAUAAUGCUUCGGAUCUAUGAUGGAAAAGAGACAGAAAUUAAAAAUGGACAUUUUGGUGAGAUAAGGAGCAUUGGGAAUCUUACUGCCCACAUUGAAAUAGAGGCUAUAAUUGCUCAGGAGUCAAGCACCAUUAAGGAGAGACCUGCUCUACACUGGAAUGUGGUUAACACUCCGCCCAGCUAAGCCUCUACAUUCUGAAAGGAAAAAGACUAAGAGGUGACUAGCCAAACUUAGCAGGUAUCUCAAUAUGAUGUUAUCUUGGAUGCAUGAAGGAGACCACACCGGUUCAUAGACUCCUCUUCCUGGAUCUUAGAUGCAUGAAGGAGACCAUGCCGGUUCAUAGACUCCUCUUCCUGGGCCUCAGGGAGCUGCUGGGGCCAAGAAACAUGUGGAAGAGGGGUCACUACAUGAAGGCUUUGAGAAGGCAAGAGGCUCUAAGAAAGCAUUGCAGGAAACUGUGAAAGUAAAGCUCUUGCAGUAAAGAUCCCAAAUUUUUGGUGAUUCAGCAGCCACGGCUUACCUGCUGUGACAAGUUAUGCUUUGAUUACUGUGCCUAGAGAGAUCCAUGAAACAAAAAGAAAUUCUCCCUUCCCUAGGGACAAGAUACUUCAAAAAUGCUGGAGGCUGUUGUUUAAGGAAGAUAACAAGCCACAUGUUUUCGCACUCAUAAACAAGUUUGUUUGCCCCAACUGCAUUGGCUGUCUCUAUCACCAGUAGGCAGAGGUAAGGAAACAGGAAACAUGUCAAGAUAUAUGCUUGUCCUUCAUUGUAUGUUUGUCCUUCAUUGGAUAUUGAUUGGCCUUGUGGGGUUGCCUUUUUAAGCCUCUGCAAGAUGUGAUUCAUCACCAAUUGCUGGGAACCUGGGAAUGAACCGGGUCAGAGUCCAUCCUCCUGGCCAGCAUCUAAUUAACGAUUGCUUCAUAUUUGACUCAAAGAUUGUGGUAGUGGUCUUAUUCCCAACUGGUGAGAUUAACACUGCCAAAGAGAACUGCAAACAGGGGCAGAACCAGCCCAGGAGAGAUGUGUACGUCGCAGGCAGCAAAGGUGGGGGUGUAGAGGUAUCUAAGCCCCUCGACAUCAGAUGUGAAACUACAGAUUUGGUCUUGGCCCUGUUGAGUUCUGAUCUUACUUUGGCAUAGCAUUCCCAUUUAGAAGGUUUGUGGGUAUUAUAUUCUGGGGUAUUACACAUUGAACACAUGUGAAUUGUGUUUUGAUCUUACAGUGGUUACAAUUAAGAGAGUUCCUUGAGCCUCAGAAGAGACUUUGGGCUUUUGAGUUUUACAGAAUAUUGAGGCUGUGAGAAACAAUGAGGAGUUUUGAAAUCAGAUUAAAGAAAUUUUGCAUUAAGAUACAGUUAUGAGCUUAUGGAAGCUGGGGAGUGCAAUGUAGUGUUUUAAAUAAGAAAUGUUUCCAUUAACCUGGGAAUUAGAGCACAUGGGUCCUCAGUAGGUAGCUUUGUUUCGGAGAGGUUUAGAAGGUAUGGUCUUGUUGGAGGACGUGUGUACUGGUAACAAGAGUUGGGAAUAUAUCCUGUCUACUUCCAGUAUGCUGGCUGUCUGCUUUGUGCUUCUGGUUAAGAUAUGAUAACUCAGUUUCCUGUUCCUACUGCCAUCCCUGCUACUGGUCAUGCAUCCCCACUGUGAUGGAAUCUUAUACCUCUGGUACCACAUAAACACUUCCUCCUACAAAUUGCCUUCGUACUCAGCUAUCUAGUGCACUCAACGUCAUCAUAGAACACCUGCUUUGGUGCCCUGUGUGGAGCCCUGGCUGUCCUGGAACAUGCUCUGUAGACCAGACUGGCCUCGAACUCUGCCUUGAGACCCACCUGCUUCUGCAUCCCAAGUUCUGGGAUUACAGGUGUGCACCACCACUGCCUGGUGUGCCUUUGGAAUUUUAUAGGAUGAACUCACAGGGUUUCAGAACCAAGUGUUGGCAGCAAACCAACAAAACCGCAUGUGAGAGCUGUGACUUAUACUUGGUCAUAAAGAUAGAAACUGACAGAACGCCGUUCUGGAUGCUAGAGAGCUAAGUGACAGCUGAUUCUGAGCUUCGCAUUCCCAUGUGGCAAACUGCAGCCUAACUUAAGAAUACAUUCUCAUAACAAAUAGCUGAAUGUCAGCCAGUCUCAGCAGCUGUAGGUCAGCCAAACAUAGGCUCACCAGGCUAUUUCCCUAUGAUGCAAAUAGCUUGUCACACCAUGCUCACAAAAGGCAAAGCUGAGCUGUGAUUAAUCAAGGGACUUAUUUUUUUCCUUCGUCUUUCCACAAUUAAUGCCUGCCUACACUAGGGUGUAGGGCUCUCUGAUCCUCUGAACCACUAGGGACUCACUAAUGAAUCUUGUUCAAAUAAACUUCUGAGUUUAAUUUAAUUUUUUUUCUUAUAACAAGUUUCUUAUAUAGGUUUGUUUAUUCUCUUUAUAUCCUUAUAGCAGAAAGUUAUGUCAUAUCUUUUAUAUGGGCAAUAAUUCCAUUUCAUAGGAACUCCACCCUAAUGUCAUAAUCACUUUCAAAAAGCCCCACACCCACAUAUUAUUACAUUUGUGAUUAGGAUUCAAUUUAUGAGGUGACCAAGGGUAGGGAGUGCAUAUUUAGACCAUGGCUAGUAUUUCAUCUUUGCUCACACACCAGGAAACAUCAGGCAGGAUUUAAACUCUGUACUUUAUAUUCAUCUUUCUUACCCUUAGACCCCUCUUCCUGAGAUAUCUUUGAAUUUCACACUAGUUCUCCAGUUUGACAAAACCUGCAUUAUUUCUGGGUUUCCAUUUCAGUUUUGUUCAUAUAGAUGAUUGUGAAUCCCCCCACCCCCAAAUAAACACUGCUCCUCUAUUACAUU
This is a long non-coding RNA of Mus musculus (house mouse), 4622 nucleotides long. RefSeq annotates it as 3-oxoacid CoA transferase 1 antisense RNA. NCBI's taxonomy places the organism in Eukaryota, Metazoa, Chordata, Mammalia, Rodentia, Muridae. The record is from RefSeq and is marked predicted. The transcript is spliced from 2 exons.